RNAcentral lists this long non-coding RNA (1035 nucleotides) under Oryctolagus cuniculus (rabbit). Its description in RNAcentral is "lncRNA (ENSOCUG00000030070.1)". The record is from RNAcentral. Lineage: Eukaryota; Metazoa; Chordata; Mammalia; Lagomorpha; Leporidae.
AUGUUAGGAGCAUGUGACACGUCAGGUUCCAGCAAGCAGCUGGCCCUCCCCAGUGCAGGUGGGCAUCUUCCAAUCCACCAAGGGCCAGACGAGAACCGCAGGUGGAAGGAGGAGGAGUUGCACACACACCCGCCUUUCUCCCGCCUCACUGGUGAGAUGGGACAUCUCGUCACAUCUUCUGCCUUUAGACUGGGGUGGAUGCCAUCCACUCCGUUGGUUCUCCUAAUCUCUCUCUCUAUUCUCUCUCUCUCUCUCCUCUCUCUCUCCUCUCCCACCACCUCUCCCCCCUCGCCGAGUCUGUGUGCCCCACAGAUGCUCAUAUUUGUGUUCUCAGGGAAGAGGAACUGGAUGAAGAUAAAAAAAAAAAAAAGCCACUUGUCCAGCAUACACCAAACCCUUGCCCUCCGGCACGUCCUGGCCAGACUUUCGGGGCCCAGGGAUGGUGACGAGUCACCUGCUUCACAGCCUGAUGGGGGAGACGGGCAUUUCUUCAUUGAACAAGCAGAUGCCUGCCAGGCACGGUCAGGAUGUAGCCACGCGCCUGGAUUCCCCCAACUUGACAGUCUAGUUGGAGACAGACUAUUAACCAGGAUGCCCAUAAAUGUAAGGUUUUUGAAAACUGAGAAAGAAAACAGAGAAAGACAAAGCUGGCUCAGCGAAUUGAAUAUGAAGAGAAGGACAAGGCUUGUGGGGGUGAUCACGCACUGUGUCAAAACCCGCACACGCCGUGGCCCAACCCAAAUGCCAACUUCACGGUUGCGGGUUCUGGAGGUGAGAGGCUUGGACAGGGCUUGUCUCGGCUCCGUGACACCUGGGGCCUCAGCAGGCAAGACUCAGGUGCCUGUGGGGGGCUUGAAGAGCUGGGGGCUACAGGCAUCAAGAAGCAUCUUCAUUCAUGCACGUGUAGCUGGCACCGUGAAGUCCCCUCCCCUCCCUUCCAAUGAUGCCCCGGUCCUAACCCCCGGGGCCUGUGAAUAUCCCUGUUUACUGCAAAAAGGAUUUGCAGUUGUGAUCAAAUUGGGGAUUUUGAAGUGA